UAUGACAGCAACAUUGCUAUCCUGUAGCCUGAUCUUGUCAGGUCUCAGAAGCUAAGUAAGGCUGGACUUGGUAUAUACUCGGAUGGGAGACCUCCAAGGAAAACUAUUUUGCUGUUGGAU
This 120-nucleotide ribosomal RNA is filed under the name Lepisosteus oculatus (spotted gar). The record is from RNAcentral. Lineage: Eukaryota; Metazoa; Chordata; Actinopteri; Semionotiformes; Lepisosteidae.